RNAcentral lists this ribosomal RNA (253 nucleotides) under uncultured bacterium. Its description in RNAcentral is "partial 16S ribosomal RNA". It matches the Rfam family "Bacterial small subunit ribosomal RNA", at positions 524 to 776 of the family's 1533-position model. The record is from RNAcentral.
UACGGAGGGUGCAAGCGUUAUCCGGAUUCACUGGGUUUAAAGCGUGUGUAGGCGGAUUGGUAAGUACCUUGUGAAAUCCCACGGCUCAACCGUGGAGCUGCUUGGUAUACUGCUUAUCUUGGGCCACUUAGGGGCUACCGGAACAAACGGUGGAGCGGUGAAAUGCGUAGAUAUCGUUUGGAACGCCAAUGGUGAAAACAGGUAGCUGGGAGUGUGCCGACGCUGAGACACGAAAGCCAGGGGAGCGAACAGG